UAAUAAUAAUAAUAAUAAUAAUAAUAAUAAUAAUAAUAAUAAUAAUAAUAUCUGGGCAUAUUACAGCUGGACAACAUCAAGCAUGAACAUGUGAAGACUGUGGUCAGUAAAGAAUACACACAAAGAGUCAGAAAAAUUCUCAAAAGCAAGCUCAAUGGAGGCAACACCAUCAAGGCCAUAAACACCUGGGCCAUACCUGUCAUAAGAUAUACUGCUGGCAUCAUAAAUUGGACACAGAUGAAACUGGAAAAUUUGGACAGAAAAACAAGAAAACUCAUGACCAUUCAUCAUUCACUGCACCCUCGCAGUGAUGUUGACCAGCUAUAUCUGCCUAGAAGAUCAGGUGGCAGAGGACUCUUGCAAGUAAAACAAGCAGUCAAAGAAGAAGAACUUGCCCUGGCAGAAUAUGUAAAGCAAAGUGAAGAACCUGCUUUGAUUGAAGUCAAAAAUCAGAAACUCCUCAAAGCACAGCAGACAAAAAACCAGUACAAGAAAACCGCACUACAAACUAGAGCUGACAGCUGGCACAACAGAACAUUGCAUGGAAAGUUCCUUGACAAAAUUGAAGGAAAAGCUGAUAAGGAGAAGACCUGGCUAUGGCUCACGAAUGGGACCCUGAAGAAGGAGACAGAAGGCCUGAUCCUUGCAGCCCAGGAGCAAGCCAUCAGAACAAAUGCAAUUAAGGCCAAGAUCGAAAAAUCAGCUGGUGACCCAAAAUGCAGACUGUGCAAGGAAACCGACGAAACCAUUGAUCAUAUCCUCAGCUGCUGUAAGAAAAUUGCACAGACAGACUACAAACAGAGGCACAACUAUGUGGCCCAAAUGAUUCAUUGGAACUUAUGCCUCAAGUACUACCUCCCAGCAGCAAAGAACUGGUGGGAUCACAAACCUGCAAAAGUAUUGGAAAAUGAGCACGCAAAGAUACUGUGGGACUUCCCAAUCCAGACUGACAAAGUUCUGGAACACAACACACCAGACAUCACAGUUUUGGAAAAGAAGAAGGUUUGGAUCAUUGAUGUCGCCAUCCCAGGUGACAGUCGCAUUGACGAAAAACAACAGGAAAAACUCAGCCGCUAUCAGGACCUCAAGAUUGAACUUCAAAGACUCUGGCAGAAACCAAUGCAGGUGGUCCCGGUGGUGAUGGGCACAUUGGGUGCCGUGCCAAAACAGACUGACAAAGUUCUGGAACACAACACACCAGACAUCACAGUUGUGGAAAAGAAAAAGGUUUGGAUCAUUGAUGUUGUCAUCCCAGGUGACAGUUGCAUUGAUGAAAAACAACAGGAAAAACUCAGCCACUAUCAGGACCUCAAAAUUGAACUUCAAAGACUUUGGCAGAAACCAGUGCAGGUGGUCCCGGUGGAUUGGCACAUUGGGUGCCAUGCCAAAAGAUCUCAGUCAGCAUUUGGAAACAUUGACAAAAUUACGAUCUGCCAACUGCAAAAGGCCACCCUACUGGGAUCUGUGUGCAUCAUCCAAAAAUACACCACACAGUCCUAGACACUUGGGAAGUGUUCGACUUGUGGUUUUGUGAUACGAAAUCCAGCAUAUCUUUCUUGUUUGCUGUGUCAUACUAUGUCAAUAAUAAUAAUAAUAAUAAAACAACUUUAUUUAUAUCCCACCCUAUCUCCCCGUGGGAACUCGGGGCAGUUUCCAACAAGAAAUGGCUAACAUUCAAUGCCAUACCAACAAAAACAUUGCCAUGAGGAUUUAAACAAAGACGUCACAGGAAAUUAAAUAAUUUCAACUGCUAAACAUUAAAAGACAAGAAUUUGGAAUUCAAGCUAUCAACAAUAUAAAAUUUAAAUUUAAAAUUUAAAAUGCAGAGCCUAGCCAGCAUAAUAAGCCAUUUCUGAUUCUGUGGUAACAGUGCUAAAAGUUCCAAACAUCCUCUUCUCUAUAUGAGAGCAUAAAAAUGGUUUUAAUCUGUUUUUAAAAAGAGAGUAAGGAGGGAGUCAUUUUGAUCUCCUUAGGGAGGGAGUUCCAGAGGUGGGGGGGGGCAACCCUCUCUUGUUCUCAUCAGCCAUGUUUGAGAUGGGGGUGGGACUGGGCAGGCUUAUGCAAGGAGAUGUGGUUUGUAAGAUAGUCUGGGCCCAAACUGUUUAGGGCUUUAAAGGUAGUAGUACGUUUUAUUGAUUAACCUUUCGGCCGUAUCAAAACAUUUAACACAUAGACAUACAUACACAUACAACCCACGGUACAAAAAAGUUAAAAUAAACAGGCUGUCCAGGUCAAAUAUCUGCAUCACCUUUACAGUUUACCCCAAUCGAUUCCAAAUAAGCAGUUCUCAGCUGUGUUGCUUUGAAUAGGAAAAGGGCUGUUUUGUGUGUUAUUUUAGGAUUCUGGUCGGCCAACAAAAUUGUAGUUUUAAUAUGUGGGUCCCAGUAUGUUUUGUGAAUAAUGUAUGGCUCGAGGUAUUGGUCUCUCUAUUAUACAAUACACAGCUGAACAGUACAGGUGUGAUAUCCUCCACCUCUGAUGCUCCACAAAUAUAAAAUUGUUUGUUGUAUGGGACUUGAUUAAACCUUCCAUAUUUCACUAUUUUAUCCAGCUGCUCAAAUCAAGCUCUGGUAAAUACCCUCCUAAGGUGUUUAGGUAUUUCUGUCUUUAGAUAUUGGGCUGUUUGGAAAGUAUGUUUAAAGCGACUUAGCCAUUUCAAUGAGCCAGCUUUACUGAGGGUAGCAAUGUCUUUUUGGGCUUCUAUAUCCAGUACUCGGUGAGCAACUAUUUUUGGGUCUAGUUCUUCUAAGACAUUUGGGUACCGAAUCGGAAGUCCACAACUCCUAAUGUAUUUUGUCAGAUGAACUAGCCAAGAGGUUUCAUGUUGAUUUUCUAUCUGCUCUAACAGCCGCAGUUUUGGUAGCCUAUCAUUUGCCAUGGCAAUCAGUUUUACCCAGUAGUUGUAGGCCCUGAUUUUGGAUAAGCCAUCCACUGUAUAUACUCCCAGUUCUGCUCUUACUGUGGCAGCUGGGGUCGCUUUGUCCACUCCUAGAAAACUUUGCAGGUGCUGUGACUGUGAUUGCUCUAAUAAUGGUAGACCCCAAACUUCGGCUCCAUAUAAGAGCAUGGGGGUAACCUUCGCCUUAUAUACUUUAAGGAGUGGGUUUAAAGAUCCUGGUUGGCUGUGAUUUGUUAAUUUAAGUAGUUGAUUUGCAUGGGCUCUUGCCCUGACUAAGCUCCUUUGAUGAUGCGAAAGCCAAGAGCCGGUCUCGGAAAAAACAAUUCCCAGAUACGUGAAGGUGCAAACCCUCUCUAUUGGUUCACCAUCCAGGUACCAUCUAUGUCUGUUAUGUCGUUUGUCAAAUACCAUUAUUUUUGACUUUGCUUUAUUAAUAGUUAGGGUGUUGUUAUGACAAUAAGAAUUAAAUCUUCUCAGCAGCCUAAGUAGCCCAACUUGCGAAUAUGAUAAUAAAAUUAUAUCAUCAGCAUAUAGUAGGAUGUUAAAGUGUGUUUUGCACACCUUAGGCAUAUGUACCUCUGGGUCCUUCAGCUGUUUGGGGAGAUCAUUUAAGUAUAAGCUAAAUAACAGUGGUGCUAAUAUGCACCCUUGUCUGACCCCUUUGUAUGUUUCUAUACUGUUUGUCAUGGCUCCUUGCAUCCCAAACCGCACUUUCAGGAAGGUGUUUGUGUAAAGUGCUUUGAUUAGUGCCAGCAGUCUGGGUUCCAUAUUGAGAUCAGUUAAUUUCUUCCACUAUUUACAGUAUCAAAUGCUGUGCUGAGAUCUAUAAAGGCAGCAUACAGUUGUUUCCCUCUGCUGACAUAUUUUGUAAUUGUAUGAUUUAAAACAAAGCAAUUGUCAAUGGUUGAUCUACUCUGCCUGAAGCCAGCCUGUUCUUCAAUGAGGAUAUGUUUUUCUUUUUCCCAGCACUCAGCACUGUUCAGGAGAUAUCUGGCAUAUAUCUUGGCCACAAUAUCAAUUAGACUAAUUGACCUGUAGGAACCAGGGUCUUUUUUGUCCCCUUUUUUGUGUGCAGGGGCAACUUUUGCCAUCUUCCACCCAACUGGGAUCUGGCAGAUGUUAUUUAUGUGUGUAAAUAAGCCUGCUAACGGAGGGGCCCACCAAUCCAGAUGUGUUUUAAAUAGCUCAGCAGGUAAGUAAUCUUUCUCUGGGGCUUUAUUGGUCUUCAGGUUGUUUAUGAUACAUCUGACUUCAUCUUAUGUUACUGGUGGCAAGAGGGCUUUUAUUGAUAAAUCUUUACCUGGUGACUGUGUCUCUGUAGGUUCUGUGGUGGCAAACAAGUGGGAGUAGUAAUUUUCCCAGUCCUCUGCAGGGAUAGGUUUAACAAAUGCAAAUUUCCUUUCCUUCAAAAUUCCAGCUACUGUGUUCCAAAAGAUAGAAGUUGUUAUGACUCUUAGCUGAGCACUCAAGCGCUGACCAGAUCAAGACUGUAUGAUUUUUCUUUUUUGUUUUUAUAAGUUUCUUAGAUUCUUGUCUCAGGGUUAACAUUUUGACUUGCAGGUGUACGAGAGUAGAUACAAGAUGGCGGCAUGGUAACAGGGACCUUGAUAAGCUCCGCCGACGAGGAACUAAAACCGCCACGAAUUUUCGCUAUACGGCCUCCCAUUGCCCUCAAUCGGUUGCUAUCAGAAGAGUGAGGCUAUCGACCAUUUUUGGGGUUUUUGGCCUUACCGUAAGGGCUGCAGAGGCUGCUGAAAGGAGCUGCAGAAGACCAGGAAGGAUCCGCCUGGCCACCAUUUCAUCUGUUUGGUGCGAGAGGGAUCUCCAGAGUCCAGAUGCGAGGAAGCCCAUCGUAAC
Molecule: long non-coding RNA, 4756 nt
Filed under: Anolis carolinensis (green anole)
Lineage: Eukaryota; Metazoa; Chordata; Lepidosauria; Squamata; Anolidae
Description: lncRNA (ENSACAG00000039181.1)
Source: RNAcentral